AGAGUUUGAUCCUGGCUCAGGGUGAACGCUGGCGGCGUGCCUAACACAUGCAAGUCGAACGGUUCUAAGCGCGAGCUUAGGAUAGUGGCGAACGGGUGAGUAAAAGGUAGGAAUCUACCCCUUGGACGGAGAUAGCUACUGGAAACGGUAGGUAAACUUCGAUAAGCCCGAGAGGGGAAAGUGGUGAGACAGCCGAGGGAUGAGCCUACUCUCCAUCAGGUAGUUGGUGAGAUAAAAGCUUACCAAGCCGAUGACGGAUAACCGGUGUGAGAGCAUGAACGGUCACAAGGGCACUGAGAGACGGGCCCUACUCCUACGGGAGGCAGCAGUGGGGAAUCUUGGACAAUGGGCGAAAGCCUGAUCCAGCGACGCCGCGUGGAGGAAGAAGUCCUUCGGGAUGUAAACUUCUGAACUAGCCGAAUAAAAGGCCUGUGGACACACAGGAGAAGAAAGUAGGCUAGGAAAAGUCCCGGCUAACUACGUGCCAGCAGCCGCGGUAAU
RNAcentral lists this ribosomal RNA (501 nucleotides) under uncultured bacterium. RNAcentral describes it as "bacterial SSU rRNA". It matches the Rfam family "Bacterial small subunit ribosomal RNA", at positions 8 to 524 of the family's 1533-position model. The record is from RNAcentral.